Molecule: small nucleolar RNA, 94 nt
Rfam family: small nucleolar RNA snoR128
Source: Rfam
UUGCUAUGAUGAUUACUAGAAGUUAUAGAAAGUCUUGUUGAAUUCUUAAUGAAAUGUCGACAAAAAUUGUCGAUCUGAGCGGUUACCUGAGCAA